Molecule: long non-coding RNA, 201 nt
Filed under: Capsicum annuum
Lineage: Eukaryota; Viridiplantae; Streptophyta; Magnoliopsida; Solanales; Solanaceae
Description: long non-coding RNA (CANN_LNC007720)
Source: RNAcentral
UAGGUACAGGUACUGCUAACACUGCCCUGGGUCUUAGAUCCUGGUGCUCUAUUUUUGUUUCCCACUUUCAACUUAGGAACUGGAGCACUGGCUAUAGAGAGAGACGGAACUGAUGACUUAGGAUGAAACUGGGAAUAGUUUCCUCCUUCUAUCUUAGGAUGAGCGAAGUUGAAACUAUCUGUCUUUGCUUUCUUAUUCUAC